Molecule: long non-coding RNA, 228 nt
Filed under: Ictidomys tridecemlineatus (thirteen-lined ground squirrel)
Lineage: Eukaryota; Metazoa; Chordata; Mammalia; Rodentia; Sciuridae
Description: lncRNA (ENSSTOG00000034616.1)
Source: RNAcentral
ACACUGAAGGUCCCCUUCCAAAAAGACACCUUACUGACGUCCUGUGGAGUGGACUCAGUGGAAUCUGCUGUUGGGGAUUCUCUAGGCUGUGGCCCUGCUCCGUGUUUCUGUCCGUCUUUCCAGACCCCAUGCUGGAGGUUGGAACUGCAGAAAGAAAAGAUGGAAAUUCUGGCCCCAAGAAGCUCAGAAUCCAAGGAAGAAGGUAAAUAGAAAACCUGGAACGACAGC